Molecule: small nucleolar RNA, 107 nt
Filed under: Helianthus annuus (common sunflower)
Lineage: Eukaryota; Viridiplantae; Streptophyta; Magnoliopsida; Asterales; Asteraceae
Description: Small nucleolar RNA Z279/snoR105/snoR108
Rfam family: Small nucleolar RNA Z279/snoR105/snoR108
About the family: This family includes the plant snoRNAs known as Z279, snoR105 and snoR108. All three are members of the C/D class of snoRNA which contain the C (UGAUGA) and D (CUGA) box motifs.
Source: RNAcentral
GGGAGGUGAUGAGUGGUCAUUACUCGCACAUAAACAUGCGAGAUGGGGUGUCCGUCCAAAGCCUGUUACGACAAUUGGGCACCUUUAAUGUUAAACCAUCUGAUCCC